GGAGAGAGUCCGGUUGGUCAUGGAUGCUGUCUUGAAAACAGACUGGGUGUAAAAGCCUCAAGAGUUCGAAUCUCUUUCUCUCCG
Non-coding RNA from Sphingobacteriales bacterium 40-81, 84 nucleotides. NCBI's taxonomy places the organism in Bacteria, Pseudomonadati, Bacteroidota, Sphingobacteriia, Sphingobacteriales. The record is from Rfam.